This 185-nucleotide ribosomal RNA is filed under the name Hydnum repando-orientale. RNAcentral describes it as "partial 28S ribosomal RNA". It matches the Rfam family "Eukaryotic large subunit ribosomal RNA", at positions 1 to 180 of the family's 3401-position model. The record is from RNAcentral. Lineage: Eukaryota; Fungi; Basidiomycota; Agaricomycetes; Cantharellales; Hydnaceae.
UUCUGACCUCGAAUCAGGUGGGACUACCCGCUGAACUUAAGCAUAUCAAUAAGCGGAGGAAAAGAAACUAACAAGGAUUCCCUUAGUAACUGCGAGUGAAGUGGGAUGAGCUCAAAUUUAAAAUCUGGUAGUCUCUGGCUGCCCGAGUUGUAAUCUAGAGAAGUGUUUUCUGUGCUGGACUGUGU